This 2354-nucleotide long non-coding RNA is filed under the name Cucumis sativus (cucumber). RNAcentral's name for it is "long non-coding RNA (CSAT_LNC002075)". The record is from RNAcentral. Lineage: Eukaryota; Viridiplantae; Streptophyta; Magnoliopsida; Cucurbitales; Cucurbitaceae.
GGAGUGUACGCAGAUGUCGACUCCCUGAGCUUGGCCGGCGAAUAAGACAACGACGGCGGCAGCAGCGGCGACGACAAGAAAGACCGGUGAGAAAGAAACCAAUUGCUUUUUAGCCAUAUAUGAUAAUUUAAUCAAUGUCUUUGAUUUUUGUUAGGCUUCUUCCUCAAGGUCGGUCAAAAUUAGGGCAAAUGAAGAAUGAUGAACAGGUAAAAAGGAUGGUUUUGUGAAUUUGGCGGUGGGUUGGUUUUAUAUGACAUUUCAAUGGCAUGGGCGUAACGGUAUUCUGUAACUACCCAAUAAGAACGGGUUGUAUUUGUAAGGCUUCCCUUUAUUCUAGAGUGAGUCUAUUGAAUUUGAAUGUCUUUUUUAGGUUUUAAUUAUCGUAUUGUUUUAUAACUUUUUAAAAACUAUUUUCCUUUUAGUUAUCUCCAUAUAUUUUCUAAAUAAUUUAGUUUAUUCGUUUAUUAUUUAUUCUUUUAAAUAAAAUAAAUUCUUUUUUAGUACAAAGUUGGAACUAAGAUAUUUGAAAGGAAAAAAACUUAUUUCUCCAAUUAUAUACACGUGUCAAUUGAGUAAAAAAAAUAUUGUUUUUAAAUAUAAUAAAAUAAACACUAUUAUUGUUGGAUAUAUAAAUAUCUAGCAUCUAUUAAAAGACUCCAAUUGUUUGCAUUUUUAAAAUUAACAAAAUAUUAAAAUUAUUUACAAAAUUCAGUACAAUAAUUUAGUUUAGUUUUUUUUUACUAAACUAUCUAUAAUAAAUUUUUUUAGAUAUAAAUAAUAUGAUAUAACAACCAUAACAUUGGUUUUCAUGCAAUGGUUUUUCAAAAGAUAUUUUGGUGAAGCAUCUUUAUUUUUAUUUUUUGCUAGAGGUUAGCCUUUGUUUUCUAUUUGUUUUACGGCUCAAAUGAUGAGCAUGGCUUCAACUUAGUUCACAUGUCUUAGACUUUUAAAAUUCAAAGUUCUUAAUUUAAUUUCUAGGUUUCAUGAUUCAAGUUUGGUUUUUAAAUACCUACUUGCCGUUUUUACAUAAUUAUUUUUCAUUUUGAAAAUUGCUAUUAAAAUUAAAAUUAAAGUUUUGCAUCAUAAUUAUUUUAGUUUAGUUUUUUUCAAAGAAAAAAUAGAAGAAGAAAAAACUAUUUACCAUUCAAUAUAUAUAAAAAAAUUACCAAAAGACAAAAUUCAUAAUACUUUUUUUCAAUAAAAGACAUGAUCUUUCAUCUAUCUCAAAAAAAAAAAUGGCAGGGGAUUAAAAUACACUCUAGCUCAAAUCAUUGAUCAUUCAUUGAUAAAAAAAAAAUUAAGUGAUAUUUAAUUAAAUUAUAUUAUCAUUACCAUCACCAUCGACCUAAAACAUUUUUGGCACCUAUGUUGUCUCACACUUAGCCUUAGCUAUGUGUCAAAGAGCAUUCUUAUAAAUAUAGGCUUACUUAACUACCACAAGAUAAAAAAAAGUAAGUAAUGUUCAAAGAAAAGAAGUGGCAUUCCUUUCUACAUGUUUAGCUAGAGAACAAAAUUCGAACACCGAUAAACAUAUAAUUAAACAUAUAAUGGUAAAAAGAAAAAGAAAAAACCAUGUGUUUAUCUAAUCAUGAUUUGUUAUACAUGUUCUUAAAAAUAAAAAUCAUCUAACCAAAAACGUCUAAUAUAAUCCACACAAAACCCUCUUUCUAAUAUAUUGUUAGAAGUAAUUUUUCAACCUUUUUUUUUUUCUCUUUUACGAUUAUACUCUUUUAAUUUCUUAUAUAGAAAACUUUUGUUUAAAAAGCAAUUGCAGUUUGCAAUGCCAUAAUGCUAAUACGAAGAAUGCACCCUUAACCAUAAUUAGAUUGUAAAUAACCUUCAAAUUAAUUAAGCAUUGGGUUUCAAUUUCUUUACCCCACUACUUAUUUCCAUAACUUAUGGAUAUUUAUAUUUUUAGAUUUUUAUCAAGGACGUACUAAAUUUAGGUUAAAUGAAUGAAAAUAAUAUAUGUAUUGACCAAUCCAUAUUUUUUAGUACAUCAUCAAACAUGAAAAUAUAAUUUGUGUACUUUUGAUUUAGUUGUCGCCGUUUUAGAUUAUUUUAGUACUACAACAUCGAAAUAAAUUUGAGACCAAAACGACACGUCGGUUUGGUCGAACCUCCCUGCCCGUUCCUCUUCGUAUAUAUUAAUUUUUACUUCAACAAAGUGGAUAAGUGCAAGCAAUUUGCGGCCAAAUGUUGCAGCAGAAGGUCGUUGCUCAAGACUGUGGAAGCUUUCUUUUGGUCGCCACUCUCCACCACCGCAUCGUCACAUGUGGAGUAGAAAGUCAGUGCAGCGGAAAGGUUGAUUUUCAGGCUUGGGAUGUCUUUUUUCUGCAUAUACGCCAGACUGC